CUCACUCAGUGACACGACAUUAUUAUAGUCUCUUGUCCUUUCAAUUUAUUCCAUAAGCUAAUAAAGCACUCCCUAGCGUCUUCUUUGUUCACAAAUUUGGGUGAGUUCAUAAGUCAUUAUGUUAUUCUAUUUCUAUUUAAUUCUUUGUUCAAAUUUCCGAAACUCUAAUAGUUCGACCCUUUUUCUUGAAGCUUUAGUUUUUCUCCUUUGUGAGUUACUCUUCACGAUGAUUUAGAGGUCGAUUGGAAGUAAAGCGGCGUUUUCACGGUGGUUUAGAGGUUGCUAGGAAGUAAAGCGGUG
This 300-nucleotide long non-coding RNA is filed under the name Medicago truncatula (barrel medic). Its description in RNAcentral is "long non-coding RNA (MTRU_LNC000514)". Lineage: Eukaryota; Viridiplantae; Streptophyta; Magnoliopsida; Fabales; Fabaceae. The record is from RNAcentral.